This 429-nucleotide ribosomal RNA is filed under the name Bacteroidota bacterium. RNAcentral's name for it is "Bacteroidetes bacterium partial 16S ribosomal RNA". It matches the Rfam family "Bacterial small subunit ribosomal RNA", at positions 355 to 776 of the family's 1533-position model. The record is from RNAcentral. Lineage: Bacteria; Pseudomonadati; Bacteroidota.
UAGGGAAUCUUCCGCAAUGGACGCAAGUCUGACGGAGCAACGCCGCGUGAGUGAAGAAGGAUUUCGGUUCGUAAAACUCUGUUGUUAGAGAAGAACAGCGCAUAGAGUAACUGUUAUGCGUGUGACGGUAUCUAACCAGAAAGCCACGGCUAACUACGUGCCAGCAGCCGCGGUAAUACGUAGGUGGCAAGCGUUGUCCGGAUUUAUUGGGCGUAAAGCGAGCGCAGGCGGUCAAUUAAGUCUGAUGUGAAAGCCCCCGGCUCAACCGGGGAGGGUGAUUGGAAACUGGUUGACUUGAGUGCAGAAGAGGGGAGUGGAAUUCCAUAGGUAGCGGUGAAAUGCGUAGAUAUAUGGAGGAACACCAGUGGCGAAGGCGACUCUCUGGUCUGUAACUGACGCUGAGGCUCGAAAGCGUGGGUAGCAAACAGG